Molecule: long non-coding RNA, 765 nt
Organism: Neoarius graeffei (lesser salmon catfish)
Lineage: Eukaryota; Metazoa; Chordata; Actinopteri; Siluriformes; Ariidae
Exons: 4
Source: RefSeq, a predicted model, not a curated record
CAUACCAUUGUUGUGUAUUAUCCCUGAUGUCAAGACUCUCGUCUCUGCGAGCCUACCACACAGAUUUAAUACUUGUGUCAUUUUUAGGGCAUACCUAACAACCUGUGUUUUCUCUCUCUCCCUCCCCCCCCAAUCUGUCCCUCUGAGUUACAUGUUGGUCCUGGGAUUGAGAUGCUGGCCUCUUCUGCCCCUCGGACCUGCUUGAUCCAUCCUUGUGCCCUGUGUCUGGUUGGAGUUUUAUCGCAUCGCUCCUGUGGAGGACGGCCCCGUGAGGACAGGUUAUGACAACAAUGGCUGAGUUUUUAUCAGGAUCACAAGAAGAACAAGUUGGACUAUGUCCAAAAAUGCGACACAAUAAUCCUUUAGAAUUUGGAGGAGGACAGUACUCUGUUAAUUCAUCAAUAUUUUGCAUGCAUACCGGUGUGUCUUGGCGACUUCGUGAUCGAACCUCUCUAUCCUGUUCCUAUGACGGGCCAGUUGUUCACAUAGAACAAAGGGAGCAAGAUUCAAUUCUUUCCCAGUUACGAAUCGUUGAACGUGAAUCCAUCGAAACACGCACCCGUACUUCCCUCUCUCAACAAACAUAUUGAUGGUACCACAGCUUAGCAGUCCUCCUGGGCUCGGACAAACUUCUGUCUGUCUCUUACCGUAUAUCAGUUUUCCUUGACUGGGACAAUCUCUGUCCAUCUCUUAUAUCAGUCUUUAAAUACUGUUUCCACUAAUUUCUUUACACAAGAAUGCAAAGUUAUCACUUACUGGUUCGGU